AAAGAGUCCUCCUUUCUGGAAGGGCUGAGACACCCCUUCUUCUUAUCCCUGAGGAAAACGACUUUCAUCUACAAAGUCCCUGGUCUGACAAAGAAAAUCUAUUCUGUGCUCAUGGUCCCAAAGCAUUACUCCUGCCUGUCAUGACACCAGGAAGAAUGUCCAAUGACUCCCAGGUGAAGCAAGGUGCUCUAGGAAUGAAAGCCCCAUGAAUUUUGUGGUCCACUGUAUAUGAAUGAGAAGGUGAUGAAGAUGGGAAGUGAAAGAUAGGAUGGAAGAAAUAUUCUACAAAAGGAGCAACAAAUAACCCCUAAACAAACAGGAAAUGUUUGCAGAACACUACGGAGAGAGGGUGUUAACUUUAGACUGGAAAUCUGGGAAAUAAUUGUUACCGG
Molecule: long non-coding RNA, 392 nt
Filed under: Fukomys damarensis (Damara mole-rat)
Lineage: Eukaryota; Metazoa; Chordata; Mammalia; Rodentia; Bathyergidae
Description: lncRNA (ENSFDAG00000026581.1)
Source: RNAcentral